Molecule: ribosomal RNA, 774 nt
Filed under: Bacillus subtilis
Lineage: Bacteria; Bacillati; Bacillota; Bacilli; Caryophanales; Bacillaceae
Description: bacterial SSU rRNA
Rfam family: Bacterial small subunit ribosomal RNA
Source: RNAcentral
CUAAUACCUUGCCAGUUCGAGCGGACUUGACGGAAGCUUGCUUCCGUUCAGUUAGCGGCGGACGGGUGAGUAACACGUGGGUAACCUGCCUGUAAGACUGGGAUAACUCCGGGAAACCGGGGCUAAUACCGGAUAUUCUUUUUCUUCGCAUGAAGAAGAAUGGAAAGGCGGCUUUUAGCUGUCGCUUACAGAUGGACCCGCGGCGCAUUAGCUAGUUGGUGAGGUAACGGCUCACCAAGGCAACGAUGCGUAGCCGACCUGAGAGGGUGAUCGGCCACACUGGGACUGAGACACGGCCCAGACUCCUACGGGAGGCAGCAGUAGGGAAUCUUCCGCAAUGGACGAAAGUCUGACGGAGCAACGCCGCGUGAGUGAAGAAGGUUUUCGGAUCGUAAAGCUCUGUUGUCAGGGAAGAACAAGUACGGAAGUAACUGUCCGUACCUUGACGGUACCUGACCAGAAAGCCACGGCUAACUACGUGCCAGCAGCCGCGGUAAUACGUAGGUGGCAAGCGUUGUCCGGAAUUAUUGGGCGUAAAGCGCGCGCAGGCGGCUUCUUAAGUCUGAUGUGAAAGCCCACGGCUCAACCGUGGAGGGUCAUUGGAAACUGGGAGGCUUGAGUGCAGAAGAGGAGAGCGGAAUUCCACGUGUAGCGGUGAAAUGCGUAGAGAUGUGGAGGAACACCAGUGGCGAAGGCGGCUCUCUGGUCUGUAACUGACGCUGAGGCGCGAAAGCGUGGGGAGCGAACAGGAUUAGAUCCUGGGGGUAGUCCAAU